Prinia subflava (tawny-flanked prinia) is the source of this 1789-nucleotide long non-coding RNA. RefSeq lists it as uncharacterized. NCBI's taxonomy places the organism in Eukaryota, Metazoa, Chordata, Aves, Passeriformes, Cisticolidae. The record is from RefSeq and is a predicted model, not a curated record. The transcript is spliced from 3 exons.
CUUAAUUUGCAGAGUUAAAUACAAGGGACUUGUAAGGGGGUAAAAAUUAAAGCACACCUGAAAAUGAAAUAAGGGACUUCUCCAGCUAUGACAAGCAGUGCAGCAGAUCAUAGAAGUGGAUGGUGAGUUAUACUGGCUUUCCACUAAGAGGACCUGGCACAACUAGCCUGGAGAACUCAUUCAAGUUUUGGCAGACUAGUGGCUCCAGAUGUUCCCCUUGAUCUAAGCAUUGCCACACAGAGGACAAGGGAAGAUCCACUUGAACAGGAUCCACUCUGAAACUCUGGGUUGGCCUUACAGGGCCAGAAGACUUGCACCCCCCAUUUCAAGUAAUCUGACAUGCAAAGACAGGGACACAGGAUGCUGCAAGUGAGGUCUGGUUCUGCUCAGCUGCAGAGCAGGUUUCUAUGAUGUCAUGAUGACAUCAUGAGCCAUAAAUACUGAGGAAAGGAGGAACAAGAGAUGAUCAAAUGGCCACAAGGGUUAGACAGAUCAUGAAAAAUAUCAGAAAUAACAUUAAGUGGAAGGUGAAAUGCCUGCCCAAUCAUCCUUCAAUGUUAUUCACUAGUACAUGUCUUCAUAUCUUGUCCUAGACCGUGAAAGUGUGGUCAAGCAGACAAUACUAGGGACUUUGAUUUUGCAAGGGCAGACUAAGUUUCUUCUGAAGCCUGCAUUCAUUCUGCUCUGAGGGUAAAAGCUUUGCUUUCCCUCCUUUUCCCUCUGUUCAUCCCUGAAUCCUUACAGCCCUAGAAGGAUCAUCUGUCCCUUCCAUAUAGGCCCAGGAGAGCUUGGACAGUUGUGAAGACCCAGGAGGCUGCUCGAGCCAGACAGGCAUUUACAUAACUCCCAUCUUUCCCAAAAAAAUGUCUGAGCUCCACAGAAUGUUCAGUACAUAUCUUGUUUUGACCAAUGUCCCUGUAUCAUCAUUAUGCUGUUUAUUUCUGCUCAUUCUGAAUUUUAAUAUGAAGUGUUCAUAAAUAAAGGCACAUACAGAUGUGUUUUAAGAUAACUGUGCUUUACUAAAUGAAGAUUGCAUUAAAAAUUUUUAUGACUGUUUAAUAUGUAGACCAUUAAAAAGUAUCUGGAGGCUCCAGGAUCUUUUGGAGGGGUAAUUGUUUUGUAUGUCGCGACAUGUUUUUACAAAUGGGUUAUGUUUUAUCCUGCUGGUCCUUUAUCCUGCUCCUGUCCUUUCCAGUAAUUCUAAAUUUUAAAUGAAAAUAUGUGACCUGUAUAUGAUGAACUUUCAUUACUUUUGUAACUUGUGCAGAAAAGUAAGUUAGCCACUAAACAUGACAGGUUUAUUUGUUCGUUUAUUUAUUUUUAAAUUCUAAUUAGAGAAAGGAAAAGGGUGUCAACAGUCUUUAGUGAUUCACAUUUUAACAACCAGGUUAUAAUUUAUUAAUUCCCAACUUAUAAAAUUUUCACAACCUCUUUCCACAGGAGUCCAAGAGCAACUCAAAUUUAUUUAUUGUUUCUACAUAGGGUGUCAUUAAAUAUUUGUUAUCUCCUAAAGUUUGUUGGGAAGCAGGAUUAUUUUCCACAUCAAAUCACACCAAUGCUAAUGGGAAAAGCAUUAGAUGUUGACCCAGCAAAUUAAACUGUAAAAUAUGAAGCUCAUUGUUAUUAUUACAUACAGACACAUUUUCUGUGCUCCUUAUUAAAACCAUCUUAAUCAAACUCAUUGUAUUUUAGUCAUGUUUUAAAAUAAUUAUGCCAGAAUACAAAACACAUGAAUAUACAAAGAGAACAAGUUCCACUUGAAUAUGUUCAAUUUAACUCUUUAAAAGAA